UACGGGGGGAGCAAGCGUUGUUCGGAUUUACUGGGCGUAAAGGGCGCGUAGGCGGCCACCGCAAGUCGGUUGUGAAAUCUCCGGGCUUAACCCGGAAAGGUCAAUCGAUACUGCGGGGCUAGAGUGCAGAAGGGGCAACUGGAAUUCUCGGUGUAGCGGUGAAAUGCGUAGAUAUCGAGAGGAACACCUGCGGCGAAGGCGGGUUGCUGGGCUGACACUGACGCUGAGGAGCGAAAGCGUGGGGAGCAAACAGG
RNAcentral lists this ribosomal RNA (254 nucleotides) under uncultured bacterium. Its description in RNAcentral is "partial 16S ribosomal RNA". It matches the Rfam family "Bacterial small subunit ribosomal RNA", at positions 524 to 776 of the family's 1533-position model. The record is from RNAcentral.